UGGGGAAUCUUGCACAAUGGGGGCAACCCUGAUGCAGCGACGCCGCGUGAGCGAUGAAGCCCUUCGGGGCGUAAAGCUCUUUCGACCGGAACGAUAAUGACGGUACCGGGAGAAGAAGCGGCGGCUAACUACGUGCCAGCAGCCGCGGUAAUACGUAGGCAGCAAGCGUUGUUCGGAGUUACUGGGCGUCAAGAGUGCGUAGGCGGUUUUCUAAGUUCGGUGUGAAAUCUCCCGGCUUAACUGGGAGGGUGCGCCGAAGACUGGGAAGCUGGAGUGUGGAAAGGCAGGCGGAAUUCCUGGUGUAGCGGUGAAAUGCGUAGAUAUCAGGAGGAACACCGGCGGUGUAGACGGCUUGCUAGACCAUAACUGACGCUGAGGCACGAAAGCGUGGGUAGCAAACA
RNAcentral lists this ribosomal RNA (401 nucleotides) under uncultured bacterium. RNAcentral's name for it is "bacterial SSU rRNA". It matches the Rfam family "Bacterial small subunit ribosomal RNA", at positions 355 to 774 of the family's 1533-position model. The record is from RNAcentral.